This 301-nucleotide ribosomal RNA is filed under the name uncultured bacterium. RNAcentral describes it as "partial 16S ribosomal RNA". It matches the Rfam family "Bacterial small subunit ribosomal RNA", at positions 509 to 807 of the family's 1533-position model. The record is from RNAcentral.
CAGUAGCCGCGGUAAUACGUAGGGUGCAAGCGUUAAUCGGAGUUACUGGGCGUAAAGCGUGCGCAGGCGGUUAUAUAAAUCAGAUGUGAAAUCCCCGGGCUCAACCUGGGAACUGCAUUUGAGACUGUAUGGCUAGAGUGUGUCAGAGGGGGAUGGAAUUCCGCGUGUAGCAGUGAAAUGCGUAGAUAUGCGGAGGAACACCGAUGGCGAAGGCAAUCCCCUGGGCCUGCACUGACGCUCACGCACGAAAGCGUGGGGAGCAAACAGGAUUAGAUACCCCAGUAGUCCCUGUCUCUUAUAC